This 515-nucleotide ribosomal RNA is filed under the name uncultured Bacillus sp. RNAcentral's name for it is "partial 16S ribosomal RNA". Lineage: Bacteria; Bacillati; Bacillota; Bacilli; Caryophanales; Bacillaceae. The record is from RNAcentral.
CACGUAGUUAGCCGUGGCUUUCUGGUUAGGUACCGUCAAGGUGCCGCCCUAUUUGAACGACACUUGUUCUUCCCUAACAACAGAGCUUUACGAGCCGAAACCCUUCAUCACUCACGCGGCGUUGCUCCGUCAGACUUUCGUCCAUUGCGGAAGAUUCCCUACUGCUGCCUCCCGUAGGAGUCUGGGCCGUGUCUCAGUCCCAGUGUGGCCGAUCACCCUCUCAGGUCGGCUACGCAUCGUCGCCUUGGUAAGCCGUUACCUUACCAACUAGCUAAUGCGCCGCGGGCCCAUCCUAUAGUGAUAGCCGAGGCCAUCUUUUACAACCGAACCAUGCGGUUCGAUCGAUUACCCGGUAUUAGCACCGAUUUCUCGGUGUUAUCCCGAUCUACAGGGCAGGUUGCCCACGUGUUACUCACCCGUCCGCCGCUAACUUCUGGGAGCAAGCUCCCAUUAGUCCGCUCGACUUGCAUGUAUUAGGCACGCCGCCAGCGUUCGUCCUGAGCCAGGAUCAAACU